GGGGACCCGCACAAGCAGCGGAGCGUGUGGUUUAAUUCGAUGCUACACGAAGAACCUUACCAGGGUUUGACAUGCAAGUGGUAGGAAUCUGAAAAGGGACCGACCCUUCGGGGAGCUUGCACAGGUGCUGCAUGGCUGUCGUCAGCUCGUGUCGUGAGAUGUUCGGUUAAGUCCGCUAACGAGCGCAACCCUCACUGUGUGUUAUAUGUGUCACACGGGACUGCCGGUUUUAAGCCGGAGGAAGGUGGGGAUGACGUCAAGUCAGCAUGGCCUUUAUAUCCUGGGCUACACACACGCUACAAUGGUCGGUACAAUAGGUUGCCAAGCCGCGAGGCGGAGCCAAUCCACAAAGCCGGCCUCAGUUCAGAUUGUAGGCUGCAACUCGCCUGCAUGAAGAUGGAGUUGCUAGUAACCGCAGGUCAGCAAUACUGCGGUGAAUACGUUCCCGGGUCUU
This 454-nucleotide ribosomal RNA is filed under the name uncultured Anaerolineaceae bacterium. RNAcentral's name for it is "bacterial SSU rRNA". It matches the Rfam family "Bacterial small subunit ribosomal RNA", at positions 915 to 1382 of the family's 1533-position model. Lineage: Bacteria; Bacillati; Chloroflexota; Anaerolineae; Anaerolineales; Anaerolineaceae. The record is from RNAcentral.